UACGGAGGGUGCGAGCGUUGUCCGGAAUCAUUGGGCGUAAAGGGCACGUAGGUGGCCCGGUCAGUCCGUGGUGAAAGCGCGGGGCUCAACCCCGCGUCGGCCAUGGAUACUGCUGGGCUGGAGCACUGUAGAGGCAGGCGGAAUUCCUGGUGUAGCGGUGAAAUGCGCAGAUAUCAGGAGGAACACCGGUGGCGAAGGCGGGUCUCUGGGCCGUAACUGACGCUGAGGAGCGAAAGCCAGGGGAGCAAACGGG
Molecule: ribosomal RNA, 253 nt
Filed under: uncultured bacterium
Lineage: Bacteria
Description: partial 16S ribosomal RNA
Rfam family: Bacterial small subunit ribosomal RNA
Source: RNAcentral